GCUACCAUGCAGUCGAGCGGAACGAGUUAUCUGUACCUUCGGGGAACGAUAACGGCGUCGAGCGGCGGACGGGUGAGUAAUGCCUAGGAAAUUGCCCUGAUGUGGGGGAUAACCAUUGGAAACGAUGGCUAAUACCGCAUGAUGCCUACGGGCCAAAGAGGGGGACCUUCGGGCCUCUCGCGUCCGGAUAUGCCUAGGUGGGAUUAGCUAGUUGGUGAGGUAAGGGCUCACCAAGGCGACGAUCCCUAGCUGGACUGACAGGAUGAUCAGCCACACUGGAACUGACACACUCUCCAGACUCCUACGAGAGGCAGCA
RNAcentral lists this ribosomal RNA (316 nucleotides) under uncultured Vibrio sp. Its description in RNAcentral is "bacterial SSU rRNA". It matches the Rfam family "Bacterial small subunit ribosomal RNA", at positions 54 to 353 of the family's 1533-position model. The record is from RNAcentral. Lineage: Bacteria; Pseudomonadati; Pseudomonadota; Gammaproteobacteria; Vibrionales; Vibrionaceae.